CUGCAUGAUUUUAUUACUAUAAAUAUACAGUAAAAACGAACCAACGAUGAGCCCAUCUGAGCACAUCAGACGGCAGCACAUGGGAGUCCCAGCGGGCCACUCUGCGGCCCGAACUUCACGCAAAGCUCUGGCACCAGGACUGAUGGCCAGAGGCUGGGGCCUUGGUGGGGGCGGGGGGCGGGCGGUGCAGGGGGCUGUGUGUGUUGUUGGGGAGAGGUGCAUGGGGGGAGAGAGGUGCUUGGGGUGGGGUAGAGGUGCGUGGGAGAUGCUCGGUCCGAGUGCACACACAUGCAUGGGAACAUGUGCAGGAGUAUGUGCGUGUGUGUAUGCGUGACAGCAUGUGUGAGCGUGAGUGUGCAUGUGUGAACAUGUGCGUGAGCAUGUGCAAGUGGGCGUGCAUUUGUGUGUGUGUACGUGUGAGCGCAUCUGCGUGCCUGUGCACGAGCGGGAGGGGUGGCUGGCCUGGGUGUGCAGGGAGCUGGGUGUGAGGACCAUGCUGUCCACUGCUGGGUCUCGCCCAGGAGGCGGACCUCAUGCUCGGAGCCACCGUGAGCCUCAGGGAGGGUACUGAGCUGCCCCACAGCCGACCUGUCCCCAGGCCCAGCUGCAGGGCAGCCCUCCAGAGCCAGGUGAGCAGCAGACACCUGCCUGGCCCAGGGCUCCGCAGGGGUGGAUCCAGCCCUGGGUCACCAGGCCCAGGCACUCCCUUUGCCAUCUGCGGCCCAGGAGGUUUACCUUUAAAAAAACAAACAAACAAACAAAAAAAACAGGACGAGGUCGCCCAGAGGCCAAGCCUCCCGGCCGGGACCCCAUUCCCCAGGUGUGCUGCUGGCUUCCUCCUCCCUGGGCCAGUCCUGCCACAGAAGCCUGAGACAGAACAAACCAAAUCAGAGAGAACUGCAAGGGGGCCGGGCGCGGAGGCUCACGCCUGUAAUCUCAGCACUCUGGGAGGCCGAGGCAGGUGGAUGACCUUAGGAGUUUGAGACCAGCCCGGCCAACAUGGUGAAAUCCCUUCUCUACUAAAAAUACAAAAAAAUUAGCCGAGCAUGCUGGUAGGCACCUGUAAUCCCCAGCUACUCAGGAGCCUAAGGCAGGACGAUCACUUGAACCCGGGAGGCGGAGGUUGCAGUGACCCGAGAUUGAGCCACUGCACUCCAGCCUGGGCAGCAAGAGUGAAACUCCAUCUCAAAAAAAAAAAAAAAGAGAAGAGAACUGCAAGGGGACAUUCCAAUGGCAAAAGAGAAUGAGGAGGCCACCAGGUCCUCCCUGGCAGGGGCCUGCCAAACAGAAGCCCCUGCACCUGGAGGGGCCUUGUGAUGUCACCAAAGCCAGCACCAGGAGGAGGUGUGGAGCUUGGUGACAAGGCCACUGAAUGCUGGCUGCUGGAAGCAGCUGUGCCUCCGCCCCUCGGCCAGGCCCAGCACCGGGCUGAGACACUCUAGCUGCCCAGGGCGGCACCCAUGCACCCCAAGGCCCCGAGCACUGAGGGCCCCAGCGCAGACGCACCAGGGAGGGCACUGAGGCCGCGCAAACACGGCAGAGGACAAAAAGCAGCGACAGCCAGGCCGCCACAGUGACACGCAGGGCCUCCUGAGUUCUCCGGGCAGGGACCGCACUGUUGCAGGAGCAGGCAGAGCCAGCGGAGGCCACACGUGGGCAGCCCCAGCCCCAGCCGCUCAGCCCACAGGACCCUGGGGAACGGGGGCUCUGAACUAGGGAUGGAAAGCUGCUGUCCUUCAUCUUGUACCAGUUACAAAUAUAUCAACUGUAGAAAAGGGAGACUCAGAAGGGACAGUUCACUGUGCUCUUUGAUCAAGAGUCACCACGGCCCCUCGGAGCCUGGUGGCCACAGGGGGCAUGCAGACAGGAGGCCGGCUCACAACGGGGUCCGGAGCAGCCCCUCGGCAAAGUCUGGGGAGCCGAGGGCUCCAUGCUGCCAGCUCGGCCAGGCUCUCAGAGUGGGGUCAGCUCGGCGGCGCUGGGAUCGGGGCUGGGGCCACCAAGUGGAGGCCAGGUGGGGCUGGUGGUGGCGAGGCCGUGGGCCGUCUCCAUGGAGGUGGGCCGUCCUGCAGGUGGGAGCAGAGGGAGGAGGGUCACACUCGGAUGCCUGGUGCCACGCCACCCGCUCCUACCGAUCUGGAGCCCCAGAGGGGCUGGGCCAUCCAGCACCCCCACUCCCGCCGCCUGUGGCCACAACAGCAUUCACUCAGAUGUGAGCACACCAAGGGCCCGGGGACUCCCUAACUGUGCCAAAUACGCUGUGUCCCUCUUGGGACAGACGAUCCCAGAUCCCCGGACACCCACAGCAGAUCUGCAGCCCCGAGUCAGAGCGCGACACGGCACCGCGGUGGAUGCCCUCUGGGCCUCCUGCCCUUGCCCUGGUUCCGGUUUCCUGGGAUGUGGCCAGCCACUGUCCUGCCAAGGUUCUUACGGCUGGGUUAGGGUGGAACUCGGUCAACCCAGGGUGCAGGGGUGGGGAGCGGCCCUGGGUGAGAACAAGCCCGUGCUCAGAGUAGCCCCCGGAUGGCUACUGCAAGGCAAAGAGAGGAGCCUCCCACAGAGCCCCAAUGCCCAGACUGUGGCCUGCACGACGCCGCCGGGCGCUGUCCCCAGAUGGGUCUGGCGUCCCUGGGGCUUGGGCAAUGGUGCUGGUGCAGAGCCUGGGACGGGGCCAGCAUGGCCUCAGGGCUGCCUGACACCCAGCCACCAGCCCUGACACAUGGCUCCCAGCAGACACGGCCCAGGCCCCACUCUCCGGUGAAGGGCGUCUAUUUUCUUCGGGGGCCGCGGCGAGAGCAGGUUUCCGAGGCUGUGAGCCCUGUUCUAGAUCACACCUGCACUCCCCAGCUCCGGAAGCUUGACCUGAAUCGUGACAUUCGCACGGCACCUUCCACCGAUGCGCAGGCCGGGGCCGUCUGAAAGGUGCUGACUGUUUCAAUCUAGGGGUAUAAUGGCUCAGGACAGGGGUCAACAGAGGGACUCGCUGGGCUCAAGAAGACAGAGGUUCAUGGGAAUGCAGAGCGCAGUCAAAAGAAGCGAAGUUCUCCCUGACCCGGCUCAAGUCCACCCAAGGGGAAAGGGCCUCUUAGAGCCUGCACCCCCGGCCAGGCACCUCCCAGCAGGCUGCAUGGGCCUCGGCAGACCAGAGCUGCACGCAGCUUGUGUGCCAAGACCCUCUGGGAAGGCAGAGGGUCCCCAAUCCGUCUGCCUACAUUUUGGUGGCACUCCUGGAGCUGCCUUCUCUCUCUCCCCCGUGUGUGUGUGUGUGUGUGUGUGUGUGUGUAUUUUUUUUUUCUUGAGACAGGGUCUCAGGCUGGAGUGGGUGGGUGGGUGUGUGUGUAUUUUUUUUUAUUGAGACAGCGUCUCAGGCUGGAGUGGGCCUUGACCUCCCCAGCUCCGGCAAUCCUCCCACCUCAGCACCCCUGAGUAGCUGGGACCACAGGCACAAGCUACCACGCCCAAGCCAAUUUUUUAUUUUUCAUAGAGAGGGGGUCUAUGUUUUCUACACUGAUCUUGAAUUCCUGGGCUCAAGUGAUCUAUCCCCUCGGUCUCCCAAAGUACCGGGCUUAUAGGUGCGAACCACUGCCUGGACAGAGCCGCCUUCUGUAAAACACUCACCUGGGCCACCCUGGUAGAGGGCGCCUCUUGGGGGGGAUGGGGGAUGCCAACCUCACAGGGCCUCCUAUCUUUUAGUGCUGGUGUUCCAGAAGGUUCCAGUACUGGGAGGGACAGGUGAGUCGGCAGCAGUGGGCUCAUGGCACAAAGGCAGCCCACGAGGGACUGUGUGCCAGGCCCAUGGUGAUGCCAGGCCCACGGUGGCCAUGCUGACAAGGGAAGGAGGGAGCGGGGGAGCAGGUGGCUGUGUGAGCGGACGCCCUCAGGACAGGACGCAAGAUACUCUCCCCUGGGCACCAGAGGGCCCCUCGAGGACGGACUCCCUCCAAGAGACAGGGACUGAGCUUGGGAAGACGUGAUCCAGGGGCUCUCCCAAUCGGGGCGCAUUCUUUCCCCAUGAAUUGUUAAAGCCACGACCGGAACACGGGAGUGGACCUGCUGAGCGUCCUAACGUGUCUGCUGCAGGACCGAUGCGAACUCAUGGUGGGACCAUCCGGAACAAGGCCAGGCCCAGGCCUCUCCCCUUGGGACGCUCACCCCAUGUCUCCCUGGGGUUCCCUCCACGGUGCUGCCCUCAUCCCUCAAGCUCCUGCCUCCCGCAGUGGACAGUGGCUCUGGCGCACCUGGGCUGUGUCUGUCUCCCUGCCUGGGCUGGGACUGUUCCAGGGCCCCUCAAGGCUGGAAGAAGAGCCUGACCGGCCGCCUAGUCCAGAUGGAGAGACCUCUGGCCCCGAAAGUCAGGACCCCCCAGGAGGCCACUUUCUGGGGGAAGGUGCAGCAGCCACUGGAGAGCUCUGGAUUCGGAAUCCAGGGCCCCUGGGAAGAUGCGGAUGCGGACGAAGACCCAAAAACCAGAAGGAACCCCCGCCAGAGAGCAGGGGAGGGCUCCUCUCUCCAAGGACGCGCGUCAGAGCCCCCGAAGCGCGUCUGGGAGGUCACGUACCGGCUUACUCGUCUAUACCAACAGAGCAGGAGUCGGGCCCCAGGGCUGCGCGGAGAGGGGGAGAGACAGACGGAAGCUCGGUUAGCAAGCGCGCAGCAGCCAGCACAGCCACAGCAAGGGCACCAGCUUGGGGACACGGUCGAGGCCGUCUAGAAACAAACACUCUGCUGCAACCACAGAGAACCACAAGGAGAACCACAGCUGGGAGGCAGAGCGCAGCCAGAAUUCAACGCGGAGGAGCGCACUGGCCCUGCCCCUCCCUCCCAUACCUCCCGCUGCCGCAGCCUAGGGAAGGGCGCAUGAAGGACCUAACGGGCGCAGUCCACCUCUGGUUUCAGGAGUGAAGGCCCUGGGUGGGGGGCUGAGGCUAGACAGGACCGAGCUCAGGGCCAAGUCCAAGACACCAGGGCCCCCAGUGUUCACCAUCUCAUGGGCCCUCCCAUCUACAGGGACAGCAGGGUUCAGUGAUGCCGC
Molecule: long non-coding RNA, 5032 nt
Filed under: Homo sapiens (human)
Lineage: Eukaryota; Metazoa; Chordata; Mammalia; Primates; Hominidae
Description: non-protein coding lnc-ANKS3-2:1
Source: RNAcentral